AACCGCAGCACCGACAAUUAGGUUACCACCGUGUACAUCGCCACCGCGCUUUGGUAAAAAAUUAAAUUUAAUAAUGAUUUUGAUUUUUUUCUUUUUUCUUUUUUUAUAUAAGCAGGUAGGUAUUAUAAUAUUGUUAAACUCGUAUAGUUUAAAAAUUUACAACGGUUGAAAUCCUCUCGGCUGAUUAUUCCAUUAUUACCAUCAACGUAGACGUAGAAAUUAAUUAAAAUUAUAUAAUUAAUAAUAAUAAAAAAACGUUUGAAUAUCGUACGGUUUUUUUUUUUUUUUUUUACUAGCUGUCCAGUUAAUGCUUUGCUAUUGCUAGAUUUUUUUUAUCAUUAGUUAUUUUUUUUUCUAUUUUUUUUUUGUUGCAGAAUUACCCGACGUAUUUUAAUAUUUUGUAAUGUAUUGUAAUAGGUAAAUAUUGAAUAAGGCAUAUGCGUCACGCCUUGAUGUAUCGUUUACUAAAAAACUAAAAAACAGAAAAAGAAGAAGUUUUGCAUUGAUAUAAGUCUGACACUUCAAGUUUUUAUUGAAUCGCAUUUGGAUACACAAUAUUUUUUGUUUUUUUUCUGGUACGUAUACAAAUGAAACAGAAAGUUUUUGGACGCGUGAGCAGGCCACAUACUACUGUCCAUGUGUGAAGAAAGAAUUUUCCAAAUUCAGUCCACACACUUGUAGCGAUUGUUCUCGUGCUUAGUUCGUGGUUAUUGCAAAGGUGAAUCGCACCGGAAUCUGUAAAUGUUUGAUUUCGUAUUGUAUGUGAGUUCGAAUCAUUAGGAUUUUGGCAACAGUACAUAUUCGCCUUUAAAUUGCCCAUUUAAAAUUGUAGCUAAUGCUGAAAAGAUAAUGUCCGUGUUAAUAUUCAGCCUGAGAACGUGCGGUGACCAAACCUGGUGAAUCAAGAGAAUUUAAAAAUUGAGUUGGAUAAUUGAAAAAAUCGUCUUGAUUCGUUACGGUUUCGAUAAACUUGUACGAUGUCAUUUCGCAUGGAAUAACGUUUUGUAUGCUUGUUUGAAUGGGCUCGAGCAUUAUGUUUUCGGGCGGUUACCAAUCUUGUAUUGCGUUGCUCGUUUGUUACUGAAGAUUGUAUUGCCUUUUUCAUUCAUGUUUCAGACGUACAACGACCGAUAUCACGUUUUUUAUACAUCAUAACUACACAGAAAUGGCGUUGGUCUUAUUUAUAAUAUUAUGUUAACCGUAUACGAGUAUCCGUAGUGAAGUAAUAAUAUCUAUGCACUAUUGAUCCUAGGCUCGUUUUUUUUUAAUUUACUUUAAUACAUAUUAUUGUUGUUAUUAUAUAUUUAAAACUCAGUCUCCAACAUGUCUCUGAAAUAAAGUUCGUGCUGCGACCGGUGGACACUUCCAUUUGUUUCCUUUAAUUUCUUCCAAGGCAUUUGACUAUCAUGUCUAUAUCAUAAAGUGUUUUGUGGAUAAAAUUGUAUGGCCAAACAGAAAUGCCUGGACAUUUACAACAAGUUUUAUUAUAAGUAUUAUAAUAAUAGGCGGUGAAAAAAGUCAGGCGCAAUGUAAUUGUUUUUUUUUCAUUAUGAAAGUUUUAUUAAAAAAACGUAAAAAAAACAAUAAUUAGGAAAAAUGUUUGACCGAAACUCGCUCAGAAUCGUAUUUUUUCAGAAAUGAUUUAUCGCCGUAUACAGAAAUUAAUUGAAUUACAUUAUGUUUCCUGCCUUUCCGACUCCUCACCCAAAAAAGUGGAAUGUCUAUCAGCAGUAUCAGCUUAUUAUUUUUCUUUAGACUUUAAUCCCAUGUUUUUUCUAAUUUUAAAUUAUAAUGACACAAGAAAUAUGAAUAUUUUUUUUUUUUUUUUUUUUUUUUUUUUUUAUUAUUAUUAUUAUUUAAGAUAAAAUAAUAUAAUCUCGUAAAAU
Molecule: non-coding RNA, 1886 nt
Organism: Cinara cedri
Lineage: Eukaryota; Metazoa; Arthropoda; Insecta; Hemiptera; Aphididae
Source: the annotation of a GenBank genome assembly